GAUCCUGGCUCAGAUUGAACGCUGGCGGCAGGCCUAACACAUGCAAGUCGAACGGUAACAGGAAGAAGCUUGCUUCUUUGCUGACGAGUGGCGGACGGGUGAGUAAUGUCUGGGAAACUGCCUGAUGGAGGGGGAUAACUACUGGAAACGGUAGCUAAUACCGCAUAACGUCGCAAGACCAAAGAGGGGGACCUUCGGGCCGUCUUGCCAUCGGAUGUGCCCAGAUGGGAUUAGCUAGUAUGG
RNAcentral lists this ribosomal RNA (243 nucleotides) under uncultured bacterium. RNAcentral's name for it is "partial 16S ribosomal RNA". It matches the Rfam family "Bacterial small subunit ribosomal RNA", at positions 15 to 253 of the family's 1533-position model. The record is from RNAcentral.